CAGCACUAAGUGGGUGGUAAACUCCAUCUAAAACUAAAUAUAACCAUGAGACCGAUAGCAAACAAGUACCGUGAGGGAAAGUUGAAAAGAACUCUGAAUAGAGAGUUAAAUAGUACGUGAAACUGCUUAGAGGUUAAGCCCGAUGAACCUGAAUAUCCGUUGUAGAAAAUUCAUCAUCAAUUCUAUGAUAUUUUUUAAUAUUGUUGGAAUGGUGUGCACUUUUUCUACUUAAGGACAUUGUAAUCUGUUAAUGUUUGAAUGCGUAUUAUAAGAACAUUUACAAUAGUUUUUACAUUAUUUAAUUUUAUUGAAUAUGUUUAAAUGUAGAUGCUUCGAAUAUGCCAUUGACAGAUUUUUACUUAUAUUGUACUUAAAUCUUCGGAUUUUAUAAUAAUAUGAUUAUCAUUGAUUUUUGUGUUUAUUAUAUGUACAUAUAUGAUUGACAAUGCGAAAGAUUCAGGAAACCUUCGGGACCC
RNAcentral lists this ribosomal RNA (476 nucleotides) under Megaselia sp. 24 SH-2017. Its description in RNAcentral is "eukaryotic LSU rRNA". It matches the Rfam family "Eukaryotic large subunit ribosomal RNA", at positions 283 to 650 of the family's 3401-position model. Lineage: Eukaryota; Metazoa; Arthropoda; Insecta; Diptera; Phoridae. The record is from RNAcentral.